AGGGAGGUAGUUUAUAAAUAAAAUAUGGGCUUUGGGAGUCUAAGAAGCCGAGUCGUUGGUCUUUUCUA
RNAcentral lists this transfer RNA (68 nucleotides) under Ophiopholis japonica. RNAcentral's name for it is "tRNA-Pro". Lineage: Eukaryota; Metazoa; Echinodermata; Ophiuroidea; Amphilepidida; Ophiactidae. The record is from RNAcentral.